AAACAAUUGUCUUUUCAAAACAUGUCAAAACAUUGCUAUUGGACUUUGAAGUUAAGAGAUUUUGUAAUUCCUGGGAGUUUGAUACUGAUGCUUUGUCAGCCAUUUCUGAAGCUUUUUUGUUUGAUUUGGGAUGGUCUUCUGUGCUUUUUGCAUCUUGAGUGUUUGUUUAUGUCAUUGUUGGACCUUUUUGUUGGUUACCUGUAUUAAACGUGGUACUUUUGCAUUAGCUAGCAGAAUCUUAAGACGAAAGUGGAAAGUGAGUGUGGGUUUUUGAGAUUGUACCUUUUGUCGAUCUUUAUGGAUGAAAUUUUCUUCCUUUUUUCCUGGGUUGUCCUUGUACUCAGUUGCUUUUUUAUGAUUUUGUAGUGUCGAUUUUGAAGACUUUUGGCUAUGGCAGAACGUAACUUCGAUUCGCCGGCUUUCUUAUUAUGGAGUUUGUCAUUGAUUGGUGGUUAUGGAGUUUGUCUCAUGGCUGGUGGUUACGGAGGUUGUCGCCUGCUUUUGGAGUUGGUGUCACAAAGAUCGGAGUGAGAGGUGAGUUGAUUUUUGGCUUUUUGGGUGCGUGUAUUGUUGUUCUCUGGGCUUAGAUUUUUUUUAUUUUUUUUUCAAUGGGCUUAGUGAAAUUGGGCUAUAUUGGCUUGUUGAAUUUUCUGGGCUUCUUUUUCUUAUAUUUGGACUUCUUCUUUUUUGGUCAAAUUAGACUAGGGCUUUUUUCUGUAUUUUGUGAUGGCUUGUUUAAUUUGUUUUGGGCUUUAUUUCGUUUAUGACUUUGAUUUUCUCAACUUGGGUUGGGCUUUUUGAGAGUCAUUGUUAAUAUGCAUUUUGAAACCCGCUGUUAAUGUGUUUGAAAUUUAGAAGAAGCUACACAGUAACAAUUUUUUACAUUUGAAUCUCACUACACAGUAACUAUUUGACAUUUGAAAGUUAAGAAGCUGCAAAAGAUUUUGUUUAGAAACUACAUAUUAACAAUUUGACAUUUGGAAGUUAGAAAGCCAGACAUUUACUGUUUUAUAGUUCUAAAAUUUGGGAAAUCCAUGCUUUCAUCCUUCAUUCCCUUUUGUGAAAUACCAACUUUUUUCACUUUCCAUUGUCUUCAAUAAAACUUUUCUUCUCAUUUCCC
RNAcentral lists this long non-coding RNA (1120 nucleotides) under Prunus persica (peach). RNAcentral describes it as "long non-coding RNA (PPER_LNC006404)". Lineage: Eukaryota; Viridiplantae; Streptophyta; Magnoliopsida; Rosales; Rosaceae. The record is from RNAcentral.